Molecule: unclassified non-coding RNA, 329 nt
Filed under: soil metagenome
Description: partial contains 5.8S ribosomal RNA, internal transcribed spacer 2, and large subunit ribosomal RNA
Rfam family: 5.8S ribosomal RNA (bases 1-120)
Source: RNAcentral
GAUGAAGAACGUAGCGAAAUGCGAUAAGUAGUGUGAAUUGCAGAAUUCAGUGAAUCAUCGAAUCUUUGAACGCACAUUGCGCCCCUUGGUAUCCCGAGGGGCAUGCCUGUUCGAGCGUCAUUUCACCACUCAAGCCUGGCUUGGUGUUGGGCGACGUCCUCUUUGGGGACGCGCCUCGAAACGCUCGGCGGCGUGGCACCGGCUUUAAGCGUAGCAGAAUCUUUCGCUUUGGAAGUCGGGGCCCCGUCUGCCGGAAGACCUGCUCGCAAGGUUGACCUCGGAUCAGGCAGGACUACCCGCUGAACUUAAGCAUAUCAAUAAGCGGAGGA